RNAcentral lists this ribosomal RNA (1398 nucleotides) under Triticum aestivum (bread wheat). RNAcentral describes it as "partial small subunit ribosomal RNA". The record is from RNAcentral. Lineage: Eukaryota; Viridiplantae; Streptophyta; Magnoliopsida; Poales; Poaceae.
AUGGCUCAGUACGGCAACACCUCUUCGUUAUGGCCGAUGCUUAACAUGUCCACCACUAUGUUGACCUCAGAUCGUCCGGCUGUGGAGGCCUCGUGGAUGAUGCUGGAGCGCUUCGUGUUCCGCAGGGAUGACGACGACGACGGCAGCGGCUCCUCCGCCUUCCCGGACGAAGCGGCCGCGCCGUUGAGGGCCAACUCCGUCACCUCCCUGGGAGACCCCUUCGCCGUCGCCUUGCUCCCCGCCGCCCCUCCCGCCUUCUCCCACCUCUACAUGCAGUGGCCGCGCGGUCCACGCAACUAUGACGGGUCGGACAUGGGGACCGAACUCCUGUCCGCCCACCGGGACCUCCUCCUGCUCAGCCUCACCUCCGAGCUGGGCCUCGACGACGGUGACCCUUACCGGCAGGACUACUUCGUUUUCCAUGCCGCCCUAGGGGCUGCUGAGUCGCGGCUCAGACGGCUCCCGGCGUGCACCGUACCCAUUGUGCUGAAACUGUGGGGCGAGGAUACAACAACGGAUCGCCAGUUCAAUCGUGACACCAUCGGAAUAUAUUGCGGUAGAGAUCACUUCGCGGUGCUGCAGCUGGCCAAGUUCUGUGUUUCAACAAAGAACAGUGUUAUGGGAGCAGAACUAUGCGUCUUCCGCUCCCCUCUGUCGACCGAUGGCUCCGAUGAUAAUGUUGCCGAGGGCAAGUGGGAGAUUCUGAUGCUGCCCAUCCAACAUACAAAGGAGGAGUUCACCGACCUGACCCGCUGGUCAACCGAUGCCACCAUCAUAUCCAAUGACUGUGUGAUCUGGGUUGAUUACCACCAAGGAGGUAUCCUGUCCUACAAGCCAUGUCAUGAUGCAGUAGACACGAGACCACGUAGAAUCAUCUAUUACAGCCGACUACCUAUCAACAAUUGUCCUCGGGAUUCCUCACCAAGCGGAGAGACACAUGAGAUGUGCCGCAGUCUAUGCGUCGUCGUGGGGAAAGAGGGUGAUCUCCUCAAGUUUGUCGACGUUUCCUGUGACAAUGGUACCUUUUUUGGGCCGCUUGAUCCUUAUUCUAGUUUCACCAUCACCUUCCAUGCCCGUGCAUCGUCAGAAGAUAAAUUUUGGCACAAGGAGGCAGUGAUUACGUCUCAAACAUUUCGGCGCCUAGCCGCCCGGAAGCGUCUUCUACCGCACAAUUGUGUGCCCAUGUUCCCCCUUGUGAAUAGGGACGAACCCGAUCUCAUACACUUCAUUGUGUGUGAGCCGAGGGACAACAUUGACAAGCUUUCGGUGGUUGUUGUUGAUAUCAUCAAAGAGGCGAUAGUUUCGGUUUCUCCAUAUAUUCAAGGAGAGGAAGACCUCUGUGGCAAAGAUGCAGACACGGUCAGGCACAGGUGCCGUCUUCUGCAGUCCUUUCUCCCU